GAUAUGGCUCAGAACGAACGCUGGUGGCGUGUCUUAUACAUGCAAGUCGAGCGAGGCAGCAAUGCCGAGCGGCGAACGGGUGAGUAACGCGUAAGCAAUCUGCCCCAUAUCAGGAAAUACCCGUGCCAACGCGCGGUUAAUGUCCAGGAGAGUGGCCAGCUGCAUGGCUGGUUGACUAGAGAUUUAUCGGUAUGGGAUGAGCUUGCGUCCGAUUAGCUAGUUGGCGGGGCAACGGCCCACCAAGGCGACGAUCGGUAGCCGGCCUGAGAGGGUGAUCGGCCACAUUGGGACUGAGAUACGGCCCAGACUCCUACGGGAGGCAGCAGUAGGGAAUAUUGCACAAUGGGGGAAACCCUGAUGCAGCAACGCCACGUGUGGGAAGAAGCAUUUCGGUGUGUAAACCACUGUCAUGAGGGAAUAAGGCCCGCCUUCGGACGGGAUUGAAUGUACCUUGAGAGGAAGCACCGGCAAACUUCGUGCCAGCCGCGGC
This 490-nucleotide ribosomal RNA is filed under the name uncultured bacterium. RNAcentral describes it as "bacterial SSU rRNA". It matches the Rfam family "Bacterial small subunit ribosomal RNA", at positions 15 to 518 of the family's 1533-position model. The record is from RNAcentral.